Saimiri boliviensis boliviensis (Bolivian squirrel monkey) is the source of this 1727-nucleotide long non-coding RNA. RefSeq lists it as uncharacterized. Lineage: Eukaryota; Metazoa; Chordata; Mammalia; Primates; Cebidae. The record is from RefSeq and is a predicted model, not a curated record.
GGAUAGGGUACAGAGAGCUUUCGCGAUGGCCAGGCAUGUGGAGGUUCCUGUAGGAGUUGCAGCCUGGAAAGGCAUGGAAGCUCUUUGUCCCUUCCCCCAUGCCUCGCCCCAUGCAUCUUUUUAUCAGUGCCUUUUGUAACAUCCUUUAUAUUACACUGGUAAAGUUACGUGUUUUUCGGAGUUCUCUGGGAGAAAAUUAAUCAAAUUCAGAGAGGGAGUUGUGGGAACUCCAACCUGAAGUUCAUUGGUCAGCAGUUCCUGAGGCCCAGACUUUCGACUGGUGCCUGAGGUGGGAGCAGUCUCGGGGACUUCGCUUCAGCCCAUGGGAUCUGACUCUCUCCAGAUGUCCAGACCUCCUAGGAUGCCCUAGAACCAAAGAACAGCACCCACUCCAAAAACUCGCUUUGCAGGUGACAACAAAGAGAUCCCAAUGGUGGAGUGAUCUGCAGACACAACAGGGCACCGCCAUGGCCAACGUGGUCUGCCCUGCCAGGCAUCCUCAGCUGCUCUGCCCUUCUCCAGCAGGCCCACGACAUCCUGCCACAUGUGCCUCAGUUUACCUCCACAUCCCAUCCAUCGACAUCAGUGCAACAGGAGCUCUGGGUUUCUCUUUUCUACCCAAGUUCGGGCUGACUACCUGGUGAAGAGGAAGCUUCCCAGCUGUGUUAAUUUCCUAGGGCCACUGUAACCGAAAAGCAUGAACUGGGAGACUUAAACAACAGAAAGUUUUUGUCUCUCGUUCCUGGCGGCCAGAAGUACGGGAUAGCUCAGAUAUGGGCACUGGUGGGUUGGUUCCUCCCGAGGCUGUGAGGGAGAGCCUGCUCUCUGCCGCUUGCAGCUUCUAGCGGCCCCAGGAAUUCCUCGGCUGUGGCUGCAGAGUUCCAGCCUCCGCCUGCAUCUUCCCGGCCGCAGUCCUCGCUGCAUGUGUCUUCAGCUCAGCCUCCCUCUAUGCAGGCCUGCCUGUGGCCACAUUACCCCUUUUUAUAAGGACCUCAAUGACACUGGAUUAAAGCUCACCCUAAUGAAUUCAUUUUAAUCCCGAUGACCUCUGUAAAGAGCCCAUUUCCAAAGAAGGUCACAUUCUGAGUUACUGCGGACCAGGACUUCACAUCUUUUGGGGUGAACAUAACGUAACCCAUAACUGAUCUGCAAAACCCCCACCUGACAGGGAGAAGAUAGAUAAUGAGAUGCAGCCAAGGGAGUCUUUCUAAACCAAGAUGGAGUUUAAAGAACUGAACAGAUGGUAACUUAAAUGUAAAAGUAGUAUGAUUGCUAUUACUAUUGUUUUUGUUAUUUAUUUUCAACAUUCUCCUGAACCGAGUUCUCUAUCAUUCACUCACUAAUUCGUUGCAGGACUGACUGCAUGCCUACUGUGUGUUAGGCACUGUUCUAGGAGCCAGAUGUAGCAGCAAGUAAAGCAGCCACAAAGUCUGAUCCUCACGGAGCUACAUCCUGGUUGCAGAAGAUCGGCAUGUAUUAAACAUGUGCUUAAGUCAGAUUGUAACAAAUACUAUGAAGAAAAAGCAAGGAAGGAAGGGUUAAGAGUCAGCUGUUUUCUGGCCUUGUCCGGGUUGUUUUCUCGGUGCCCUCGCCCCGUCUCCUGGCCUUAGCCCCUCUCAGUGGCUCUCUCAAGGCUGCUCACCUCCUGCUUGGACGUCUUGCUCCCUGGCCUGAUCAGUCGAGCAGAAUGAUGCCAUCUGGAAUUGGGCCUGGAUUCUUAGGUCGGC